UAUUUAUUAGAUAAAAAACCAAUGCCCUUCGGGGCUCCUUGGUGAAUCAUAAUAACUUAACGAAUCGCAUGGCCUUGCGCCGGCGAUGGUUCAUUCAAAUUUCUGCCCUAUCAACUUUCGAUGGUAGGAUAGUGGCCUACCAUGGUAUCAACGGGUAACGGGGAAUUAGGGUUCGACUCCGGAGAGGGAGCCUGAGAAACGGCUACCACAUCCAAGGAAGGCAGCAGGCGCGCAAAUUACCCAAUCCCGACGCGGGGAGGUAGUGACAAUAAAUACUGAUACAGGGCUCUUUUGGGUCUUGUAAUUGGAAUGAGUACAAUUUAAAUCCCUUAACGAGGAACAAUUGGAGGGCAAGUCUGGUGCCAGCAGCCGCGGUAAUUCCAGCUCCAAUAGCGUAUAUUAAAGUUGUUGCAGUUAAAAAGCUCGUAGUUGAACCUUGGGCCUGGCUGGCCGGUCCGCCUCACCGCGUGUACUGGUCCGGCCGGGCCUUUCCUUCUGGGGAACCUCAUGCCCUUCACUGGGCGUGUUGGGGAACCAGGACUUUUACUUUGAAAAAAUUAGAGUGUUCAAAGCAGG
Molecule: ribosomal RNA, 576 nt
Filed under: uncultured eukaryote
Lineage: Eukaryota
Description: SSU rRNA
Rfam family: Eukaryotic small subunit ribosomal RNA
Source: RNAcentral